UGUAUUACCAGGUGAACGUCAACUCUGCCCUGACAUGGCACCAAGCCCGCAUGAGUUGUCAACAGCAGGACUCAGACCUCCUGAGCAUCACUGAGCCCCAGGAGCAGACCUUCAUCUCAGGGAUCACAAACGAAUUCCAAACCAGUCUUUGGAUCGGGUUAAACCAACUGAACUCUGAGAGCGGAUGGCAAUGGGUGGAUGGGAAUCCAUUUUCCUAUUUAAGAUGGGGAUCAGGACAGCCAAAUCCAGCCCCGGGAUGGUCAUGUGCCUCCCUA
Long non-coding RNA from Engraulis encrasicolus (European anchovy), 275 nucleotides. RefSeq lists it as uncharacterized. The transcript is spliced from 3 exons. The record is from RefSeq and is a predicted model, not a curated record. Lineage: Eukaryota; Metazoa; Chordata; Actinopteri; Clupeiformes; Engraulidae.